This 206-nucleotide small RNA is filed under the name Intrasporangium calvum. Its description in RNAcentral is "c-di-AMP sequence". It matches the Rfam family "c-di-AMP riboswitch aptamer (ydaO/yuaA leader)". Rfam says of the family: This family represents a conserved RNA structure found upstream of the ydaO and yuaA genes in Bacillus subtilis and related genes in other bacteria. The ydaO/yuaA element is thought to act as a genetic "off" switch for the ydaO and yuaA genes in its native state. It is believed that the element may be triggered during osmotic shock leading to activation of ydaO, a predicted amino acid transporter gene, and members of the yuaA-yubG operon which code for KtrA and KtrB K+ transporters. RNAcentral also lists the same sequence under 1 other name. The record is from RNAcentral. Lineage: Bacteria; Bacillati; Actinomycetota; Actinomycetes; Micrococcales; Intrasporangiaceae.
GUCCUGCCAACGCCUUGAGUCCCGUUUGACCCGCAUGGCAGGAGCGGGGGAACCACCGUUCCUCCGAGCGUCGUGGAGCCGGAUCGUUCCGGCUGCGCGCCGCUCUUGGGGUGUAGCACCUCGACGACGGCCUCCGGGCCGGAGAAGAGAGCCGGGCAACCUUUCGCCCGAACCCGACAGCUAACCUCGUAGGCGCGAGAGGUUCU